CCCUUCGGGGCAUUGGAGACAGGUGGUGCAUGGUUGUCGUCAGCUCGUGUCGUGAGAUGUUGGGUUAAGUCCCGCAACGAGCGCAACCCCUAUUUCCAGUAGCCAGCAAGAAAGAUGGGAACUCUGGAGAGACUGCCCGGGAUAACUGGGAGGAAGGCGGGGAUGACGUCAAAUCAUCAUGCCCCUUAUGAUCAGGGCUACACACGUGCUACAAUGGCGUAAACAAAGGGAAGCGAAGUGGUGACACGAAGCAAAUCCGAAAAACAACGUCUCAGUUCGGAUUGUAGUCUGCAACUCGACUACAUGAAGCUGGAAUCGCUGGUAAUCGCGAAUCAGAAUGUCGCGGUGAAUACGUUCCCGGGUCUUGUACACACCGCCCGUCACACCAUGGGAGUCGGAAAUGCCCGAAGUCAGUGACCCAACCGAGAGGAGGGAGCUGCCGAAGGUGGAGCCGGUAACUGGGGUGAAGUCGUAACAAGGUAGCCGUAUCGGAAGGUGCGGCUGGAU
Molecule: ribosomal RNA, 507 nt
Filed under: uncultured bacterium
Lineage: Bacteria
Description: bacterial SSU rRNA
Rfam family: Bacterial small subunit ribosomal RNA
Source: RNAcentral